This is a long non-coding RNA of Rhodamnia argentea, 545 nucleotides long. RefSeq lists it as uncharacterized. The record is from RefSeq and is a predicted model, not a curated record. NCBI's taxonomy places the organism in Eukaryota, Viridiplantae, Streptophyta, Magnoliopsida, Myrtales, Myrtaceae. The transcript is spliced from 2 exons.
UUAACUUGAUUUCAUUUGGCUUGUCAUCGCUUAAAUCGAAAGUGAUUUCGACGGGUUCAUCCGAGAACACAUGUUCAAUCCAAAAGCAAAAGCAUUCAAACAGAUCUCGUCACAUGAUAUCCCCACCACAACAUGAAAAUCAUGAUACUAGCAGGAAAAAAUAAGCAACUGAAAACAACAACGUUACGUCCAUCCAAUACAUAACGAAAGGCACAAAAAUCUCACAUACGAUACGAAAGAAGAAAUACACAAAAAUGCUUAGGCCUGUGCACGUCGUCGGUUUUCAGCAGUGGAAGGAGGGGGCGAGGUUGCACUUGACGGGGAGCUGGGCCGCCAAGUCGGGGUUGAUUUGAUAAGUCUGCAUCAACGUCCUAGCAUACUUAAAGAAGCAGAGGCAGUUAAGGUCGGCAUUGGCCAGAGCCGAGCAGCAUCCGCGGGUCGGCUCGGUCGGGUUGGAGACACUCACCGACGGCCUACACGCCUCGAAGCCCUCUUUGGACAUGCCGCACAUGGCUGAGCUUCCGGCUGCCACGGGAUGGCUCGCC